UAGGAAAAGAGCGCGCCUUGAUGGUACUAAUUGAAUAAGUGACAGCUAACUAUGUGCCAGCAGUUGCGGUAAAACAUAGGUCACAAGCAUUAUCCGGAUUUAUUGGGCGUAAAGGAAGCGUAGGCGGGGAGGCUGAUCCAUUGUUAAAGGCAUUUGCUCAACAAAUGUGUGCGAUGGAGAUCUCCUCCCUAGAGUUAAUCAGGGGGUACUGGAAUUCAAUGUGUAGCGGUGGAAUGCGUAGAUAUAUUGAGGAACACCAGAGGCUAAGGCGAGUACCUGGGAUAUAACUGACGCUGAGGCUUGA
Molecule: ribosomal RNA, 304 nt
Filed under: Mycoplasma ovis
Lineage: Bacteria; Bacillati; Mycoplasmatota; Mollicutes; Mycoplasmatales; Mycoplasmataceae
Description: bacterial SSU rRNA
Rfam family: Bacterial small subunit ribosomal RNA
Source: RNAcentral